RNAcentral lists this long non-coding RNA (679 nucleotides) under Lupinus angustifolius (narrow-leaved blue lupine). RNAcentral's name for it is "long non-coding RNA (LANG_LNC003239)". Lineage: Eukaryota; Viridiplantae; Streptophyta; Magnoliopsida; Fabales; Fabaceae. The record is from RNAcentral.
CCGUUGGUUGCAGUUUAAGAAAUUCUCAAAACUUGAUAUUUCAAACAACUACAAUCUUGGAUACAAUUAUGAUCACCAUAUGGUUUUAUCAACUACCAAAACCUUUACAUAAAAUUUAAAAGUGUCAUAUCCACAUCCAUAACUAAGCACCUAGACAUAUAUGCAUAAAGUCUAAAAUAUAAUAUAAGAUAAUUUAACAAUACAAUUCCAAACGUUUAGCACAUAAAGUACAAAAAUACUUCCUCUUAAUCUUGAAGCACAUAGGCAAGAAGCAAAACCUCCAUUGAAUCUCAACAUCCAUGGCUUCAACCUUGCCACCACAGUGAGGACAAGAUCCAGGAGCUUGUUUCCUCCCAAGUUCCUUCUCUCCCUCAUCACACACGUACGUGAACAUCAUUUAUCUCCUGCAAGUUGAUGUUGUUUAUUAAGUUGCGUAGCCGAUGAUCAGUCGAGGAUCAGGUCUACCUCUUCCUUAGUCGCGGAGUCGAUGAUCCACCGAGGAUCGGGUCACGAUGAAUUUGCCUUGAUUUUAGAACUAGUUAGUGGAGUAGCUUGGUGUAGCUAACGCGGUGCUGGCAAUUCUUAAGGGACAAUGCAUAGGGGGCCAGGUGAAGUAUUUAUAGAAGAACAUUUGGUUGUUAGUUCAUUAGAAUAUUCCUCUCGAUAGUUUUAAUGCUUU